GACGAAGGGGGCUAGCGUUGUUCGGAAUUACUGGGCGUAAAGCGAGUGUAGGCGGUUGUCGUAGUCAGGUGUGAAAGCCUUGAGCUCAACUCAAGAAAUGCACUUGAUACUGGGCAGCUAGAGGACCGGAGAGGAUAGUGGAAUUCCCAGUGUAGUGGUGAAAUACGUAGAGAUUGGGAAGAACACCAGUGGCGAAGGCGGCUAUCUGGACGGUUCCUGACGCUGAGGCACGAAGGCCAGGGGAGCAAACGGG
RNAcentral lists this ribosomal RNA (253 nucleotides) under uncultured bacterium. Its description in RNAcentral is "partial 16S ribosomal RNA". It matches the Rfam family "Bacterial small subunit ribosomal RNA", at positions 524 to 776 of the family's 1533-position model. The record is from RNAcentral.